This 301-nucleotide ribosomal RNA is filed under the name uncultured bacterium. RNAcentral describes it as "partial 16S ribosomal RNA". It matches the Rfam family "Bacterial small subunit ribosomal RNA", at positions 509 to 807 of the family's 1533-position model. The record is from RNAcentral.
CAGCAGCCACGGUAAUACGGAGGGUGCAAGCGUUAAUCGGAAUUACUGGGCGUAAAGCGCACGCAGGCGGUGAGUUAAGUCUGCUGUGAAAUCCCCGGGCUCAACCUGGGAAUGGCAGUGGAUACUGGCUCGCUAGAGUGUGUCAGAGGAUGGUGGAAUUCCCGGUGUAGCGGUGAAAUGCGUAGAGAUCGGGAGGAACAUCAGUGGCGAAGGCGGCCAUCUGGGACAACACUGACGCUGAGGCACGAACGCGUGGGGAGCAAACAGGAUUAGAUACCCCCGUAGUCCCUGUCUCUUAUAC